This 330-nucleotide long non-coding RNA is filed under the name Capsicum annuum. RNAcentral's name for it is "long non-coding RNA (CANN_LNC013841)". The record is from RNAcentral. Lineage: Eukaryota; Viridiplantae; Streptophyta; Magnoliopsida; Solanales; Solanaceae.
AAGUAUGUGCAAAAGAACAAUUUUCGAUGCAGUGUGAGAUGAAUGUCAUGAUCCAUGAUACCGUAUACUCCUCUUGUAGAACCUAUGGCUCGCAAAGGAAGAACCCAUAGGGGACUUGCGAUAUCCAUAUAUCUUGCUCGGAUUCAAUCAACACUUUCAAGUAAUAAUAAGUAAUAUUAAGUGCCCGAUAGGACUAAAACAGUCCAUUUUUUUCAUUUUGAAAUUUAAUGCAUAUAUCUAAUCCCACUUGGCAAUACCUCAAGCCUUUCUCUCUCUCAACAUAUGAAAUGUAAUAUGUGAUCAAUGCAGAAUACUAAGAUACAAAUCAAA